AUUUUUAUUAUUUUUUUUUCUGUUUUUAGUCAACUAUACACGUAGCAGCUGACUGUACCAAUUAAACUUCUCUCUUCCUUUCUCUCCUCGUCUGUUUCUUCUUCUCUAUCUCUCUGCAACAAUUCUCUUUCUCUGGUUCUCUUUUAUCUCACUAAUUGAUGAGGAUGUAGUAAGGUUUGGUAUUAUAAUCGCGAUUGUAGUGCUUUUAUUUUUGUUAUUCUUCACGAUUCAAGACAAUUGCAACUGAUCUUGACCCUCCCAAAUUCUAGAGUUUCAUGUUCGCAAAAACUACCAAUAAAAUGGCGAAUUGAAAUCGAAGCUUGCAUUUGUUACAUUUGAUCUCAUUGAUAAGUUUCGAUUAGGCUUGGGCAUUCAGGUUAUUGUGAAUCACUGAUACAAGAAUCUUCUCAUCGCCACCAUCAUCAUGAUUAUAAUAAUGGUGAUGGUGAUGGUGAACACCAGACUUCCAGCUUCAUGAUGAAUUAGCAGAAGAAGAUCUUGAAUUGUAUGGAUUUGGUCACAUUAACAUGACCACAACCAUGAUUUUGAUGGCAUUUCAGAGCUCUCCAAUUUGAGUAAAUUCUCCAACUUCUUUUUAUUAUUAUCUUUUGAUUAGGUGUUGGUUGAUUCCAAUCAAAUUUAGUAAGGUUUGUUUAUGGACUAACUUUAGCUUUAAUUGAGACUGAAUUUUGAAUGUCAAGAAAAAACUUUUCUUUAAUAAUAAUAAAGUAUGGUAUGGCCAUUCAAACUGACUAAAUGUCAAAGAGUGAUUUUUUUUUUUCCAUAUCCCUUCGCUUUUAAUAUCUGGAGCUCUCGCCAUCUAUCUAUGUUGCAUGUGUUCAUAGCUGAAUUUUGUAUUUGUUCUGUUCUAGCAUGUGUAUAGAAAAGAAUCAACAUGUUUCUAACAAAUAAUUCUUGUUUAAUAGAUGUAUGUGGAGUAUAUAUCGAGCCAAAGUAAAGUUUUUUUUUUUUCUUUCAAUUAGUAACUGGAUAAUUAAUGGGGCGAAUUUGUCAAAACCCCAGAAAAGAUGGGCCGAAUUUGCACAUACCCCAGACUCUUUUUUUUUUUUAUUUGAGUUUACCCCAGAUUGUCAAAUUUUCUGUUAUUAAGCCGUCUGCUGACUAGGAUGAUAUGUUCAUUAACUAGAAUACCCUUCUGAUGUGGAAACAAAGUAACAAAUUUCACUCACAGUACAUUUCAAAAGCCACCGGAACUUUGCCGGAAAAAUUAGAAAGACCGGAAGAGACCCAUUGAAGUGAUUUGAGGAUAAAUCAAGAUGAUUUAAUCAUUUAAGGGAUUUGAUGUGAUUUGGAAUUAAACUAGUGAGAGUUAUGAGAAAUCAAAAGAGAUUAAAGAAGUGAGAUUGAAGAGACAAAAAAGGAAUGGGUUUUAAUGAAAGAUGUUGAAGUGAACAAAGUUGUGAAGGAAUGUAGCCAGUGAAACUCUUAUUAAGAAGGAAGAUUUGAGUACCUUGGUGAUGAGUAUUGCAAGUAAUUUCAACUCAUUUGAGUACCUUAGAAUUCAAUCAGAUCGAAACCAGGUAUCAAGAUAAUGAGUUGGGUCAGUAGAGAUAGAUGAUUUGAGUGAAAGGAUUGUUAGUCCAUUUGAGUUGAAAAAAACCCAAGUGUAUUGAAGCAAAAGAAGAGUUCAAGAGAAAUGAAGAACACCCAGAUUCAACCAUUCUAACUAAACCCAAAUAAAUGAGGUAAAGAUGAGGUUCAUCUUUCUCUUCUAUCAAUUGUUACUAUGGGAGCAUGAGAUGAUGGAUUGCAACCAUAAAGAAAGACAAAAAUGAAUUUCUUUUUUUUUAAGCUUAAUUAGGAUUUCGGUAUUUGUUUUUAUUGUUGUUGAAUCUACAAGUUUAAAUCUUGAGUUUUAAUGAAUAUCAACAAAGUUUAUUCUUUUUUCAGUUUUUUUUUUUAUAAAUGGGUUUGGGAUUUAGGUUAGAUCUGAGCCAUAGAUUUUAUUAGAUAUGAGCCAUUGAUAAAAAAUGGGGUAGAAUACAUUCAAUAAUAUUUUAUUAGACAUUAAGCCACGUAGAAUAUCAGUGGUGUCAAUAGACGGCUUAAUAAAAGAAAAACUGACGGUGUGGGGUAAACUCAAAUAAAAAAAAAAAAGUCUAGGGUAUGUGCAAAUUCGGCCCAUCUUUUCUGGGGUUUUGACAAAUUCGCCCUAAUUAAUGAGAUAGGGGAUAAGAAGAAAUCAUAAAUGUUAAGCAAGCACUAGUAAAAAUAAAAAGGUGCCCUAUUUUCAUCCUGUACAUGUUUACAAUGAACAUAUGCAGUCUUUCAUUAGCUUGUGUUUCAUCCGAUGGGAAGGGAAUGAAUAUCUCUACAGGUUGGGUGAGGAGAAUAUUGCACACAAACUAUUUAAUGAAUUGCUCCAGCUAACGCAAAAGUGGAAAUUGGAAAAUCAAUUGCCCAAUUUUGUUCUUGAUUAUCAAUUUUCACUUAUACUCAAAAAAUUUCUUCAUUAUUUAUGUUAUUAAUUGUUCUUGUUCUCGUGGACAAUUUGAGAGACACGGUGGGUUGCUAUUUAGAUUAAUUGGUAAUUACUAUGAGAGGCAUAGUGGCAGUGGGUUGCUAUUUAGAUUAAUUUGUAAUUACAAUGAGAGGCACAGUGGCAGAAAAUGAUCCCGAAAGGAAACAUGGUGUCUUGAUCGGAGAAUGUUGGGAGGACCGCAUGGUAGGCAGUGGGGUACUAACCUUUACCAUGUUGCAGGCAUCGUCAGGUAGUCCGACUGUCUGUGGCGCUCUCUGGUGGCUAUGAGGAUGAUAAGGAUCACGGUGAAUGACAACAGUAUACAUUUUUCAUGUCAGAAAUGACUACACAAGUGCCUAAAUGGAUGAGAAAAAUCAAGAAACUCCAAUUUCUUUCUAAAACCUCCUUCGAUUUGUGCUUUUUAUCUUCUUAUUUUUUGGGCCUGAUAUUGGGCUUUGGCCCAAGUGGAGUUCAAGUUGUGUGACUUAAAUGUAUUAAUUAUCAUGUUCAACAAGAUUUACUAAAAUUGACUUAAAUAUUUGAAAGAGAUUUUGGCACUAACCCCCCGUGUGAAAGUCGAAAUUUGUGUUACCCCAGCAGUUACCCCCCAAUUGGACGGAAAAAA
This 3107-nucleotide long non-coding RNA is filed under the name Aquilegia coerulea. RNAcentral's name for it is "long non-coding RNA (ACOE_LNC002264)". Lineage: Eukaryota; Viridiplantae; Streptophyta; Magnoliopsida; Ranunculales; Ranunculaceae. The record is from RNAcentral.